RNAcentral lists this ribosomal RNA (484 nucleotides) under uncultured bacterium. RNAcentral's name for it is "partial 16S ribosomal RNA". It matches the Rfam family "Bacterial small subunit ribosomal RNA", at positions 30 to 507 of the family's 1533-position model. The record is from RNAcentral.
AUUGAACGCUGGCGGCAGGCCUAACACAUGCAAGUCGAGCGGAUGAAGGGAGCUUGCUCCUGGAUUCAGCGGCGGACGGGUGAGUAAUGCCUAGGAAUCUGCCUGGUAGUGGGGGAUAACGUCCGGAAACGGGCGCUAAUACCGCAUACGUCCUGAGGGAGAAAGUGGGGGAUCGUCGGACCUCACGCUAUCAGAUGAGCCUAGGUCGGAUUAGCUAGUUGGUGGGGUAAAGGCCUACCAAGGCGACGAUCCGUAACUGGUCUGAGAGGAUGAUCAGUCACAUUGGAACUGAGACACGGUCCAGACUCCUACGGGAGGCAGCAGUGUGGAAUAUUGGACAAUGGGCGAAAGCCUGAUCCAGCCAGGCCGCGUGUGUGAAGAAGGUCUUCGGAUUGUAAAGCACUUUAAGUUGGGAGGAAGGGCAGUAAGUUAAUACCUUGCUGUUUUGACGUUACCAACAGAAUAAGCACCGGCUAACUUCGUG